This 205-nucleotide ribosomal RNA is filed under the name uncultured bacterium. RNAcentral describes it as "partial 16S ribosomal RNA". It matches the Rfam family "Bacterial small subunit ribosomal RNA", at positions 568 to 774 of the family's 1533-position model. The record is from RNAcentral.
UGCGUAGGCGGUUUAUCAAGUCAGGGGUGAAAGGCUACGGCUCAACCGUAGUGAGCCUCUGAAACUGGUGAACUUGAGUGUAGGAGAGGAAAGUGGAAUUCCCAGUGUAGCGGUGAAAUGCGUAGAUAUUGGGAGGAACACCAGUGGCGAAGGCGACUUUCUGGACUACAACUGCGCUGAGGCACGAAAGCGUGGGGAGCAAACA